Molecule: long non-coding RNA, 615 nt
Filed under: Homo sapiens (human)
Lineage: Eukaryota; Metazoa; Chordata; Mammalia; Primates; Hominidae
Description: testis expressed transcript, Y-linked 14
Source: RNAcentral
GGAGGAGGGAGUUGGGAGGAAAGCGGCGGCGGUGGCGGCUUCAACAGCAGCUCUUGCCCUUAAGGAACAAUGCCUCCAGUCGGAUCCUGCGUCAUUCUGGCUGCCUUGGCCUUUCCUUUCCUCAGUUGAGCCAGGAAACACAAAGAUGGUGCAGACCCAGGCCCUGCUUUGACUGGGAGAAAGAUGCAUUCAGUUGACUAAAACUUGAAGCUUGGUGGCAUGCAUGUUUAGUCCCAGCUACACAGCAGGGAGGCUGAGGCUGAAGGAAUACUUGAGCCCAGGAAUUCAAGACUAGCCUGCACAACAUAGUGAGACCCUGACUUUAAAAUAAAUUUAAAAAAAUUAAAAGCAACAAGACUUUCUGCUUGUAUAUGAUGAUGUUAGUAUGCUGACUUACAAGGUUAGAUCAUUUUGAUAUGUGUGAUGUAGGUUUUCAAAGCUGGCACUGUUUUAUGCUUCAAAUAUUAUUUUUAUUCAUUGGUUCUCAUGGGAUUUCAUCACUAAGCUGUAAAUCAAUAAUCAUAAUGUUGAGGGGAGGGGAUUACAAAAUAGCUCUUCAAAAUCAUCUUUGCAUUUCUCAAUAAACAGCAUUCCCUUUUGGACUACAGUGAAAAA